AUGGGGGCUACCAUUGAUCGUUCGAUAGAGGGUACGCGGAGUCCUAACCUUUACAAGAUUUGUGGUUAGGCCCAUCACCGUAUUGGCUCUCUUUUGCCAUCGAAAGAUGAGCCGCCUAAAUUCGCUGAGAUGUAUAUUUGUGACACUGCUAAUUAAGUGGACCAUAGGAUGAAUGCGGUCAAUGUAGAUGGUACUUCCCGAGGACAGUUAGCUCGUUCUAUUGUGGAGGGUUUAAAGGAUAUGCUUGACCAGAACAAUUCUUUGGUUAAGAAGUUUAGGAUGGCUAAAGAGAGGUUAGAGGAGCAUCCAGCUGAGCGUAUAGCUAUUAGGAUCAUUGCGCCUGGUGAAGGUGAUGGUCCACAGUAUAACCUGCCCACGGCUAAUGAGCUGGAGGCCCUGGUUGUUGGUGAUUUUACUUUAGAUGCGUCUUCUCGAGAUAUCAUGAUACAUGAUAGGGUUGAAGGGCUGCAGCAAAUUAAUUAUUUGCAUCUAGCCUAUAUGCCAUUGUAGUAUCCAUUGUUGUUCCCGUAUGGUGAGAGUGGUUUUCAAAUUGAUGUUCCAUACAAAGGAUUGCGGGCCGGGGAAAAGACCAGGGUUGAAGUUACUAUGCAGGACUAUUACUGUUAUGCGUGUCAUUAUCGCCCGAAAUAGCCAAAUCCUUACUUAUGUUAUGGGUCUUUGUCUUCACAAGUUGUUGUUGACUGUCGCGCUUGCAUUGAUGAGCAGCGACUUUGGUACAUACUUAGGCACCAGGAUGAUUUUCGAUCUGAGCAUAUGCAGGGUGUUACAGAUGCAGUUGGCCAGGGUUAUGUGAAUGGCUAG
RNAcentral lists this ribosomal RNA (822 nucleotides) under Triticum aestivum (bread wheat). RNAcentral describes it as "partial small subunit ribosomal RNA". Lineage: Eukaryota; Viridiplantae; Streptophyta; Magnoliopsida; Poales; Poaceae. The record is from RNAcentral.